Molecule: ribosomal RNA, 253 nt
Filed under: uncultured bacterium
Lineage: Bacteria
Description: partial 16S ribosomal RNA
Rfam family: Bacterial small subunit ribosomal RNA
Source: RNAcentral
UACGGAGGGUGCAAACGUUGCUCGGAAUUAUUGGGCGUAAAGCGCACGUAGGUGGUCUAUCAAGUCAGGUGUGAAAGCCCUGGGCUCAACCCAGGAAGUGCACUUGAAACUGACAGGCUUGAGUAUGGAAGAGGGUCGCGGAAUUCCCGGUGUAGAGGUGAAAUUCGUAGAUAUCGGGAGGAACACCAGUGGCGAAGGCGGCAUCCUGGACCGAUAUUGACGCUGAGGCGCGAAAGCCAGGGGAGCAAACGGG